CCUUCCCUUCCCCUUCUUUCUUUCUUUCUUUGGAUUUGGUUAUCGGAGACACACACAAAGGAUCUGCCAGUCAUCACCACAAAGGUUAACUUUACUAUCUUCUUGAGGUGCUCCUCUUAAGUGCACCUCAAAAUGUUAUCUUUUAUUCACAAAGCCCCAAGUCUCUUUCAGACGCACUUUAAGGGUAAAAUGAACACAGUGUGGACACUCUACAGAGGUUCUAAUCAGGGGUGUAGCUAUAUUUGACCCCUGCCAACUGAUCAAAGAGACAUCUUUUAAAAUGGUGAUUCUCUUAUAUUUAGCAGGGGGAGAGCAACUGGCUCAAUCCAACUCCAGCACAGCAUCCCUCCGGUGACUGUUGCUGGUAUCUGCCUUAUUUUUAGAUUGUGAGCCCUUUGAGGACAGGGGACCAUCUUAUUUAUGUGUUAUUUUUCUAUGUAAACUGCUUUGAGAACUUUGGUUGAAGGAGCGGUAUAUAAAUAUUUGUUAUUGCUGUUGAGUGGAUGGGUUCAAAGAACCUGACCCCCCAGCUCCUGAGGGCCCCCUAGCUCCACCUCUCCCUAUUUUCUUCAUUAUCUCCCCCACUCUGAGGGGCCUCCAGGGAGAAGGACGAACACGGUCCCCUCUUCCCUAGCUAUGCCCCUGGUUCCAAUGAACACAUGGUUGGAGUUGGAGCCUGCUGAUUCAAUGCCUUUUCUCCAUGCAUGUUCAUUUACCACUAAGAAAUGUCUGGAAAGGGAUAUGUUUAUGUGUUUAUGACAUGAAUAGGAUGAGGGGGAGUGGGUGAGAUUGUUCCUACUGGCCCCUCAGCUGACCUCCAAAGAUUUAUCCAAGCCUUUGAAUACAAGUUGUGUAGGUGUAGGCUCUGUUCACAGGGUAAUACAUGGAGGCUGGGGCUGGAGUCAGCAGGCGGGAUUCUGUUCCAUGCUCAUGUUCAUUUCUGCUCAGAUGAAUACAGAGUUUUGCUUUCCAGUACUGGAACUCAUCAAACAAUAAGUAGUUAGAUGACUGCAGGACUGUCUUGGGCUGCAUCUGGUGUGCACUUUUCUGGGAUUAGUCUCCAUUGAAUAUAGCAGGACUUACUCCUGAGCAAAUCUGAAUAGGAUUGCAUUACUAAGCUAUUUUGUAGCCCUUGUUGAAUAUUAAUUUUGCUUCCCACCCCAAACCCCCAAUAUCUUGUAUACAUAAGCAGGCAAUUGUUUCCUGCUCAAGGGGACAACGGGCAGGGAAGGAAUUGUACAACUUUAAAGAUUUUGUAUUAAAACUCUUUCUUUCCUCCACAAGGGGAUGGAUACUUAGUUCUCUGCUACAGAGUGAGGGACAAGGGGCUGCAGCCAGGAAAACUACAGAGCACAAUUGCUCCCACUUUGAGCCAGCUGGCUCCCAUUGCUCCUUUGGGACAACUCAGAAAGUGUUGUCUCAGUGGUUUGAGGAAGGGAGAGAACUGUGCUCCCCUUUUAGGAUGUUCCCAUUUAGACUAGAUAGGAGGAAUUCCAGGAGCAGAGCUGGUCUUGUGGUAGCAAGCAUGACUUGCCUCUUAGCUAAGCAGGGUCCACCCUGCUUGCAUACGAACGGGAGACUUGAUGUGUAAGCACUGUCAGAUAUUCCCCUUAAGGGAUGGAGCCACUCUGGGAAGAACACCUGACUGUUCCAAGUCACCUCCCUGGCAUCUCCCAGAUAGGGCUGAGAGAGGCUCCUUCCUGAAGCCUUGGAGAAGCUGGCCCGUGUAGACAAUACUGAGCUAGAAAGACCAAAGGUUUCUCAGAAUAUGGCAGCUUCCUAUGUGACUAUGUGAAUCUAGCAGCCCCAGGCAGCUGCUGCCUGUACUCAUGGGGUUGGCUGCCCCUGAGAGUUUUGCUGAUUUCAACAGCCAGUCUGUUCUUCAAUCUUUUUCUUGGGGUAAAUUAUGCUAAGAGCAUUUGUUAAUGCAGAGAUGCAGAUUAACUGAUGAUUUACCCUUUUCCUAGUCCAAAAGACCAAUUUUAGCUGAAAUCAAAGAUUGUAGGAUACAAAUUUCAUAUGUAAGUAGAACUGACCAGUUACGGAUAGAGAGAAACAUGAAAUAAAAGGCAUUUUUUUGCUGUUUAACAACAAAACAUGGAACAUUGCUGAAAAAUAAAAAAAGUAAAAUAAGAGCAUGACCUUUAAAAUAUGGGUUGUCUAGCAGCCUUACUGUAGCGUAGUAUUAAUCAUGACAGAAUCACCAUCUUGAUAAUACAUUUCAAAAUUACAUGAUAAAAAAUAGACUCCUGUCAUAUCUUAGCCAUGAAAACGUUUGCUUGGAAACCAAUCACAUUAAUUUCAGUGAGACUUGCCUCUAGCAACUAUGAUUUGAGAGGCAGUAAGCCAGCAAUUCAUCUACUGUUAUAAAAAUAAAUGGAUUUUGCAAGAAUCUACAAAUCUAGAGUUUAGUAAUACACUUGAAUAUCUACAGAAGUAUAUGCAGAACAUUCCUGCUUUAACUCAUACCUGGAUGAAAAAUCCUCCAAAUCAACAGAAGAAGAGGGAACUGUUUGAGCCAUGCAUUCAAUGUAUACAUUCAUUUUAUGUUUGUUUUUUAAAAAAGUGUGGAUUAGUACAGGUUGCGGUGGUGUUUGUUUUGACCGAAUGCUACUCAGGGGUUUGAGGAUACUGAAAUACGUACAACAGCUACCUGUGGCUUCGUCAGAAAGUUGGUCCUACUGUUAGUUAUAAUAAUUCUGUUAUAACUAUUAGUACAAAUAUUUAUAUACUGUUUUUCAACAAAGUUCACAAAGUGGUUUACUAAAGAUUGUGGUUGACAAGAUGACAAAAAUUACUCAAAGUAGUCCCAUUGAAAUUAAAAGGACUUGUCCUUUUAAUGUAAAUGGGAAAUUAACUUGUCCUUUUAAUAUCAAUGGGACUACUUUGAGUAAUUUCCCUCAUCCUAUCAACCUGUGUGUUUAUUUGGUUUAAUUUUUUUUUUAAAAAAAAAUCCAUUUAAAGUGGUUUAAUUGAGAUUGUGUGUUUUCAAGCAUGAAAUAAGUAUCAGAAUUCAUAAUAUACGGUGCUUUGUUUUUUUGGUCCAUUGCCUUGGACUUUAGGCUCAGUGAUGAGGAACAUGAGGAUAGAGAUGAUCUGGUUGACAUAGGAUACUUGGACUUCCAGAAAGCUUUUGACAAAGUUCUUUAUCAAAGGCUCUUGAGUUGAGUUAGCAGUCAUGGGAUAAGGGCAAGGGCAGAGCCACCAUUGAGCAUACAGGUGUGAAGAACCCAGGCAAAUGCUAAUCAGGGGCUGCACCUGGCGCUCCAACCACACCCUCUGACAUCAGACGCAGGGGGUAUAGCUUUGCUUGCAAAUGGGGCCAUGUGGCCCCAUUUGCAGGCAAAAUCCCCAACCAGUGCCAUGUUCACGGCGCAGCCAGAGUGGCUCUCCCUGUCUAAAAAGCACUGGCCAGGGACUGUGCUUGCAAACAGGGCCGCACAGUCCUGUUUUGCAAACACUGUGUUCACAGCGUGGCCAGGAGCGACUCUCCUUGCCUUUUACAUCAGAUGCAGGGGGCAUGGCUUAGCAUCUGCCAUCAGACACAGGGUGAGGGGCUGGGGGCACCGGCAGCAGGCUGGACACAGGCCAACAUUGGCCUCCCUCCACCUCUGGAUAAGGGGACAGGUUCAUAUGUGGAUUGGUAACUAGCUGAAGGACAGGAAACAGAGUAGGAAUAAAUUGACAGUUUUCAUAAUAGAGGGAAGUAAGAUGUGGCAUCCCGCAGGGAUCUGUACUGAAACCAGUGCUCUUUAAUUUGUUCAUAAAUUGGGGUGACCAGCGAAGUGACCAAAUUUGCAGAUGACACUAAACUAUCAGGGGUAGUGAAAUCCAAAACAGAUUGUGAGGAGCUCCAAAAGGAUCUCUUCUUUUGUGGGAGACAGUGGGCGACAGAAUAGCAAAUGUUGUCCAGUGCAAGCAAGUGUAAAGUGAUGCAUAUUGGGGCAAAAAAACCACCCAGCAUCACCUAUACACUGAUGGGGUCUGAGCUGUGAGUGACUGACCAGGAGAGAGAUCUUGGGGUCAUGGUGGACAGCUCAUUGAAAGUGUAGAUUCUGUGAAUGGUAACUGUGAAAAAGGCAAAUUCCAUGCUAGAGAUCAUUAGGAAGGGGAUUGAAAAUAAAAAUACUAAUAUUUUAAUGCCCUUAUAUAAACCGUUGAUGCAGCCACAUUUGGAGUACUGUGUGUAGUUCUGGCCACUGUAUCUUAAGAAGGACUUGGUAGAACUGGAAAAGGUGCAGAAGAGAGCAACCAAGAUGAUCAAGGGCCUGGAGCACCUUCUUCAUGAGGGAAGGCUACAGCAUCUGGGGCUUUUUAGUUUGGAAAAGAGGCGACUAUGGGAAGACAUGAUAGAAUGUCUAUAAAGUUAUGCAUGAAGUAGAGAGGGAGUCAAUAGAGAUAAAUUAGGAUUGAAAUGUCCUUUAAAUUGCCCCUUUGGGCAACUGGUAAAUUUGCAGAUUCUCCCCCAUCUAACCUUUGCCUUUUGAAGAAAAAAAAGUAAUAUAAGUUGCAGACCAAGAAAAUUGAUAGUAUGAAAAAUUUAAUGCUCACUAGCCACUUAAUGGCACAGCGGGGAAAUGACUUGCCUAGCGAGCAAGAGUUUGCUGGUUCAAAUACCUGCUGGCAUGUUUCCCAGAAUAUGGGAAACACCUAUAUUGGGCAGCAGCGAUAUAGGAAGGUUCUGGAAAGGCAUCAUCUCACACUGAGUGAGAGGCGGCAAUAGUAAACCCCUCUUGUAUUCUACCAAAGAAAACCACAUGGCCCUGAGGUCACUAGGAGUCAACACCGAUUUGAGGGCACAACUUUACCUUUACCUUUAGAUAUCAAAAGCAAAAAAGUUAAGUCAGUUAAAUUAAAGUAAGAGCAGAAACAUUGACUGACUAAUCCUACAGUAAAUGUUCGCAUUUGGUCAGUGGCUGAGCUAAUAUAGGGUAGACGGCUCCAGAAAUUGUGUCCCCUGCCUGCGAGGCUGCCUCGCCCUGCCGCAGGGGCCAUCCCACUCCCCUCCCCUGCCCAGCUAACAGCCAGCUCUCCACCGCGGUGUGCCACACUGCCCAUCCCAAGCAGCACGCAGUGCUCCUAGGCACUCGGGCCUUUUUAAACAGUCACUGCAUCUUUUUAAACAGUAGGAGUUUAAUGAUGUAUUAUUGACACUAUAUAUCACUAAGCGACAUGUACAGAGCCAUUUUGCCCUUUUGAUGGGUUUUGAUGGUCCUGAGGUGGCUGGAAAACAAGGGUGUGUGUGUGAGCGCACUUCAUUCCCAGCUGCCUUGGAGUCAGAGCUGGCUAGAAUGCAGGUGAUAGGAGUAUGCCUCUGCCACUGCUGGGGGCAAGGAGGCUGCCCCUGCCUCUGUCAUUGCUUCCAGGGAAGUCUGCUACUGGGAUAGAGAGCAGUGUUUCCUGUAAGAGGAAUUCCCAGAUGUUGAUGGCUACAACUCUCAUGAUCCUUGGCCAAAAGCCAUUGCAGCUGGGGAUGCUGGGAGUUGUAGUCAACAACAUCUGGGAAUCCCUCUUACAGGAAACACUGAUAGAGAGCCUGCCACCAUCACCACGGGAGGGCUGCCCAUAGAAACACAGGCUACCCAUGUGCUCCCUAUGCCACUGCAUGUGUGUUUCUGCGCCGCCCCCACCCCCAAGCAAAGAGAUUUGCUAGAUAUUUUGCAUGAAUAUUAGUUAGUUGCUGGUUGUUUUCCUUCCAUCCUGAUUCUAAAUGCAUUUGUGUGAAUUAGGUUGCUUCAGAGUCAGUAAUAGUUACUUCCUUAUGCUUAAGAUCACCCUCAUAAAAUGAAUGUGGUUCACUCUGCAGCGGGGUUGAUUCUUCAUUGAGAAAAGGAUACGGAUUUCUGACUUAUUCAACCGUAUUAGACAUUCCAUGGGCCAUAACUUAUUUUAAAUACUGAUAGAUUUGUAUUCAUUCCAGGGAAUUGUGCCAACAGAACUGCUGUCUUACAGUGCUUUAGGAUUAAUGAAAUAAUGUACAUGAAUUGUUUGAACACCAAAAAGCUUUACAAAGUAUUAUUAUUAUCAGGCCCAGAUUAACUGUCUCCUUGCUACUUCACAUAUACAGCAUUAAUAGGUACAUGGUGUAUAUCUGAAAACUUGUGAGAGGUAAACACUCCUUGGAGAGCAGGGGCCUACUGAGGUAUAUAUAGGGGUCAAUAAAAUAUAACAUUGCUUCUCACGCAUCAUAGGAUAUAAUUGGAAUGUUUUUGGUUUAAGAAAAAGAGAUGAUGAGGGAGGUUUAGAAAAUCAUACAUGGUGUGAAGAAGGUGGAUCAAUAGAGCUUUUUCUUCCUCUCACAAAGAAGUCAACCAGAAAGGGCAUGUGACAGGAGGGCAUUGGGACUUCCACAAAAGUUGUCAUGAUGGGGGUGCUCUUGGUGCUUCCACUUUCUAAUUAUGUGUGUAGAGAAUGUAUCAUUCGUACUGGCCUCAAAAUAGACUUAUUGGCAGUAGAUUAAGGAUAGACAAAAGGAAGUACCCUUUCACCCAACACAUACUGUAAUUAAUUUAUGGAAUUCACAGCUAUAGGAUAUGGCACUGAUUAUUUCAAAGGAAGUUAGACAACGUUCAUCAAUUUAACAUUAAAAAACCAAAAGAGUUGCAUGGGGAAAAUUCCACCAGGUGGAGCUUUUCUUGUCAUUGCAGAACUGUGAUGGAAAAAAAAAAGAAAAAAUGCACAUUUGGAAUGCUUUGCAAAGUUUAGGGCUCCUGGCAGAGGCUGACACUGGCAAUACUUUGUGCUGUCACUGGUGGCUCAAACAUCCAAGGAAGCAAUCAGUGGCUUGCUCAUAUUGAGUACUAUUGAGUACCCUGGCAAGGGGGUCUGUCCAGUCACACCUCAUAAUUAAUUAGUUAAAGUCUUUACCAUGCCCAUCCCAAAGGACUUGGCUGUAAUCUACACAAAAAUUACCACCAGCCUUGCUUAAAAAAUAUUGCAGGACUGUAAAAGAGCAGAUUCAAGUUAGGACAUAAAAUAAUUUUAUGCUCUGCAUAUCACACUUUGGGUUUGGUUUUGGUUUUGAAUAUGUUUUGCACUCUUGGCAGUUUAUGAGAUCUGGUACUUAAUCUUCUCUGUUCUAUUCUUCAAAAUUUCCUGACAUCACAACUACAUCAGCACAUCUCUGAUAAUGUGAUAUUUAUAACUCUGUCUCUAUAACAUUGUUCCAAGGGCAUCCUGGAUUUGAAGUCCGUCCUACCUACCGUAUAGAAAAUGUAUGGGGAUCUGUACUCUUGAUAAUAUUCAUUGUGUUGUUCUCUUAUGAUGCAGAUCAAGAUUUCUGGGGGCUGGUGCUUAGUCUAUCUUUCAGUCUGGUGCUGUGAUGAACCAAUUGUGAAGUGGAACAUGAGGGGGGCUUUAGUGUUAUGGAAACUGGAUGCAACACUAGUAUACAAAGAUGAUGGAUUUUAUGCAAAGUGCAUCAUUAAGAAAUCCUUGUAUGGUAGUAUUUGUAAUGCUACUGAUUGAGGUAGUAAUCCCAAACAAUAACCAAAAUUAAAGGAUUUCAAGUCAAUGGAGUGUCCCAGAUGACUGCCCUCUACCCCCUCCCUCCCUCCCUCCCUAUCAGUACAGUCGCAAUGGAGGCUAGAAUUUCAACUAAUUCUGCAAUCAUGGCAUAGCAUAGGCAGUCUAAAAUCUUCUGCCAGAGAACCUACACAUCAUAUUUCGAGGUGUGCAGCACAGGACUACAUUGUUCUAUUCUUCUGUCUAGAGAACCUUUUGGUGACAAGAUAUUUCUGCACAAAAAGGAGCAUUUUUUGCACAGCUUGCCAAAGGCUAACAAUGUAUUACUAAUACUCGGCUUCGCAGGCCCUCUUACAGGUACCCUGCUGCCUCAGAACUCCAGAUGCAAAACAACUAACAGGAAUCUCAACUCCUCUGCUACGAUUUGGAUGCAAGGAUAAGGCAUCCUACACAGGAUGAGAGCUAGGAUACAUGGAGCACAACAAACAGAAACUGCAUAGAGAAUUCCAAUGCAACUCUCUCCAUUGGAUGGACAUGCAAUGUGCAGUGGAAAGAAAAUUCCACCACCAGUUCCCUGCAAAUCAUUCACAAGCAAGAUCUACAGCAGCAGCAGCAGCGACAGUGACCAGCAGGAAGCUAGCCGUCCCUCUUAGGGAUUGCCACCUUUUUGUUUUAUCAGGGUGCCUGUGCAUGACUAACAGACAAUAAUGUAACAGGCACAGCAGUACCCUGCAUGGAAAUGCGGUGAUGGGGACAACUGCAGCUGUUGCUCCUUUGUCUGUCAUGCAGUUUCCUCAGGUACAGACCCUGACUACUCUACUCCUCCAUGUUGCUUUCAUCACUGAUGCUGUUGAAUAAAAGGUUUGGCUGUUUCAGUUGUGACUCUGUUCUAAUGAGAAUUAGCAGAGAACCAUCAUCACCCUGCUUAUUACUCACCUCAGGACUGUACGUACACAUUGGAGGGACCCUGGGGGCUGCACACAGACAGACACACACAGCAGCAGCAGAGAGUCAGUCUACCUGCCCUGCACAGUCUUGCUAGGAUAACUAGUGAGAGAAUAAACUUAAGCUGCUUCCUGCUUCUCCACUACUGCUGGCAUGAGAAACCAAGCAGCUAGUUGUCCGAAUAGGAGGUAAUGAGGUCGGAAAGGUAACUAAGCAAUCAGCCAAAGAACAUGGGAGGAGGCAUGGCUGGAUGGGAUGCCUAGGUAAAAUAAAGUGAAAUGCAUGGUGUGUGGCCCAGUUGAGGCCAUCUCUCACUCUGAUUGGCUCUAAUUGUACAGUGCCUCUGAUUUGCGCAAGUAUUGCUUUCCAGUCCUUCCCCCCAGGAGUCUCAAACUCAAAUUUGGGUAAGGAGUUCUCAGCCCCUGCCAUUUUUUUGGGGGGUGGGCAAGUGAAGGAGUCUAGUUUUUAACUUGUUUUGUUACCAGACAACCACCUCCAAUUUUGGAAACAGUUGGCUUUUGACCUAAGCAAGGCUAAUAGGUGCUUGAUACCAUUCAAACUGCUGUGUCAUGCAAAAUCUGAGCCAGUGCAAAACUAUCUAGGACAAAGAAAAGCAUCCAUCCUGAAUCCCUUGCAUAGUUAAGGUGACCAGGGGUCUUACACAAGCCAGGGGUCUUACACACACAAAACGGUUCUUGAGAGUUUGAACAGCCCCACCUUACUAUACAUUCAAGACAAUCAUCCAGGCAGCUAAUUAGAUUCAGCAUAAUACAUCCCUUUGUCUGGCUGUAAUGGUUGGCACACACCUCAUUUCCAUGCUGUACUGAAACAUCUCCCUUUGUGUUUCUGAGUUUUCCCACCUUUGCAACUUUGCAGAGGGCAAAAUCCUACAAAAAGGAUUUAUUUUUAAACCUCCAUGCUGAAGUUUUUGCUGUGGAAGAUGGGUGGCAUACUGUAUUGUCACCUGCAGUCCAGAAAACUGCCUGGCUGAGAGGACACCUGCCUGUGUCCUCAAACCCUUUCCCCAUAAAUGACUCACUGGACUGCUGAGUCCUUGAAUGAGCUUACUGUGGGGAGACCUGCACAAGAUUGCUCUGGAGAUUCCAGAAACGAAGAGUCCUUGGCUCACUCUCUGUGUGGACUUGCUACAGACAGGAGCUUGCCGGCGGCUGCGGAAUGGGCUGGACCAGUGGCCCCCUACCCCUGUGGAGAUGUGUGUGUGUGUGCUAGCAUGCGCAUGCCACAACCCCUGCACAUGAUAUCACCUGCUGGGGGCGUGGACACCAGUGGCAAGACGGGUGAGCUGCCUGCUGCACUUGGUGCUUGGUUCACGUGCCGUUGUGGCAAAUAUGUUCUUUUACUGCCUGACUGAUCUCAAUGGCACGUGAAUGAAACACCCAGUGCAGUGUGCCUGGUGCAGGGACAGACAACAGACUGGCAGCCCACCCGAAGGUAUGGAGGAAAGCAGGGCCAAGCCUCUGGUGGCCCCCAGAAGCAGCAGCAGGGGAACGCUCAUCCCCACAUGUUCAGUGGUGGCCACAUGCCUGCUACAGACUAAUCUCUGUACAUGGCUACCUGUCUGCUUCUUGGACUCCAGAGUGGAAUCCCUGAAUCCUCGAAUGGAACCACUGAGGCUGCCCUAUUCCUGUGCCAAUUUGUUGAGGACUAACCCAGUGCUCUUUUUCCUAUGCUGUGGGCAUGCAGCGUACCAUAGCCUUAGAACCUGUGCCAAACCAGCACCUUACUACUGUCAUUCCUUUUUCUGCAGCUGAGACUUGGGAGUCUGCUCAGUGAGAUUCACAGCUUUCAGCCUCACACACAAAACAGAUUAAGGUCAAGUAUGCUUUUGAUUUCCUCCUUAUUCUAUCUCUUUCUCUCCUGCCUUUCCCCCCUCAUUCCAAUGCCUGCCAACUACCAGGCUAUUAGAGCUUUCGCUCUUGCUCCCUCCCACUUCCUCUUAUAGCUUCCUGGGAGCUGCCUUCAUUCUUUGCACAACUGUGAAUGUACCAAGGCUGCCAACUGCUUCAUUUUACAUUGUGCCUCUGCUUUAUAUUAGAAAGUCUCCAAGAACACCACCUAGUUAAAUCUUGUUAUUUACACUUUAUGGGUGGGAAUGAAUGGACUAAACCAGGGUUUCUUAACUUGGCCCCCCAGAUAUUGUUGGACUACAACUCCCAUCAUCCUCAGCCACAAAGGCCAUGUCUGGGGAUGUUGGGAGCUGUAGUCUAACAACAUCUGGGGGCCCAAGGUUAAGAAACCCUGAACUAAACUUUUGUCUCACAUCCUACCGUUGUACUCCUUGUUGGGGGAUUUAGUUCCUGGAGCAGAGAAAAGAUUAGAAAUCAGCUCCUCUAAUGGGAUGCCAGUAGAGACGCCAUUGCGGUACAGUCAACAAAGUUCUCAUUUUGGUACCACAUAGAAGUCUCUCUCAAUAUCUGAUUAAUAUUACCAGUGCUCCAUUGAGGAAGGCUUUUUGCAUGUUUUCAUUUUCAGACUAUGUCUUCAGCAUAUUUUGAAGGUGAUUUUUGCAAACUCCCAGUGGAACAGCGCCUUUGUCCUUGCGGCACUGGUCAAGUGGAGGACAUCAUCCACUAUGUCCUCUAUUGCCCUAUUUAUGAUGAGAUUGGGGGGGAAACACUGAAGAUAGAUAAACUUAAGGGGACAGAUGUAAAACGUUUUGACUUAUCUUCUUACAGAUGUAAUUCCACAUGUCAGCUGUCAAGUUGCUACUUUAGGUAUGCUUUCUUUUAAACUCAGAAAGAAACGUAUAUUCUAAAAUGUAGCAUUGGUUUUAGCUCAACUUAACUCAUGUGACUUCUUGGUAUGUUGCAUUUCUUCUGUUAUGUUGUGUUGUGGUAUGUUAUGACGUGGGGUCACAACAAUAAACUUAUUACUUACCUAUAUAAAUUACACUUUAUUUCUUUGUUUUCAA
Hemicordylus capensis (graceful crag lizard) is the source of this 11341-nucleotide long non-coding RNA. RefSeq lists it as uncharacterized. The record is from RefSeq and is a predicted model, not a curated record. The transcript is spliced from 3 exons. Lineage: Eukaryota; Metazoa; Chordata; Lepidosauria; Squamata; Cordylidae.